GAUGAACGCUGGCGGCGUGCCUAAUACAUGCAAGUCGAGCGAACAGAUGAGGAGCUUGCUCCUCUGACGUUAGCGGCGGACGGGUGAGUAACACGUGGAUAACCUACCUAUAAGACUGGGAUAACUUCGGGAAACCGGAGCUAAUACCGGAUAAUAUAUUGAACCGCAUGGUUCAAUAGUGAAAGACGGUUUUGCUGUCACUUAUAGAUGGAUCCGCGCCGCAUUAGCUAGUUGGUAAGGUAACGGCUUACCAAGGCAACGAUGCGUAGCCGACCGGUGCGGGUGGUCGGCCACACUGGAACUGAGACACGGUCCAGACUCCUACGGUAGGCAGCAGUAGGGAAUCUUCCGCAAUGGGCGAAAGCCUGACGGAGCAACGCCGCGUGAGUGAUGAAGGUCUUCGGAUCGUAAAACUCUGUUAUUAGGGAAGAACAAAUGUGUAAGUAACUAUGCACGUCUUGACGGUACCUAAUCAGAAAGCCACGGCUAACUACGUG
This 497-nucleotide ribosomal RNA is filed under the name uncultured bacterium. RNAcentral's name for it is "partial 16S ribosomal RNA". It matches the Rfam family "Bacterial small subunit ribosomal RNA", at positions 28 to 507 of the family's 1533-position model. The record is from RNAcentral.